Molecule: long non-coding RNA, 1050 nt
Organism: Ctenopharyngodon idella (grass carp)
Lineage: Eukaryota; Metazoa; Chordata; Actinopteri; Cypriniformes; Xenocyprididae
Exons: 6
Source: RefSeq, a predicted model, not a curated record
UCCAAAAUAUUGCUUUGUGGACAGUACAUUAAAGUUAUUCGAAUAUCAUAAACAUCUCUUCUACUGAUCCAGACAGCGUCUUCGUUCCGGAUUUAAACGCUUUAUCACCUUCUCACUUGAGAGCUCAAGCUGCGGUAUUUCUGACACUCAUCAGCUAAUUACCCCGACAGAAAUGCGUCAAUAACUCAUUAAUUGGACCCAGCGUUCCUGUUGGAGGAGCAUCACCUGCGCGUGUCUGUCACACAGGUCGGUUAAUUGAUUUCGGCAAGCGGGGAGCAGGUGUGUGCACAGCGCCAUGUAAUGCGGAACUAAUCCGAAUCGUCCGUCCGCUAUCGAUUAAGCAGCCUGAGACAAACUGAUAAGACUCAGGCUACAACAGGAAGCUCGCGCUGCAGAGUGUCGUGAAUUCACUCAGGACCGUUUGCCGAGGCUGUGGAUUACAGUGACGGCACCCAUUGACUUCCAUUAUAUGAAUCAUCGAGGACCACGGUUUAAGCUUAAAAAUCUUCUUUACUGUUAUACUGAAGAAAAAAAGUCAUCUACAUCUUGGAUGGCCUGAGGAACACAAUUAAGCAAUUACCCAUGAGCAAGAGUGCUGUCGUUCUGAAUAUGAGCUUGUGCCGCAGAUGUAUUGUCCCAGGUUUGACGUCAGUGACAUCAGACGUGGCAUUUUGGAACGUGUGCAGCAAGGAUCAAACCCUGAUGAGCCAUCACCACUGCGCCCUUGAUUACUCCAGGGAUUACCCAGAACACACCGCUGCGCUGUUAGACUGACCCCAUUCUGACUACAAACGCCUCAAGAGCAGAAAGAACAACCUGAAACCUGAGAAAUAUUAAGUUAAACUGGUCCUCAAACAGAAUGGUACAGGAAAGAGCGAACAGUAUAGAUAAACCUCUGAGCACCUUCAUUUUUGGGUCAAACUUGGUACCUGGAAAUGUAACUUUUUUUCUUCUUCAGGAAAAUCAAUGUAAUAUAUUUUUGUUCAAUAAUAUUUUUUAAUUGUUAUUUAGAAUUUUGAGAUGAUUUUAUGAUACUAUGCAAUAUUUAUA